Molecule: ribosomal RNA, 429 nt
Filed under: Gemmatimonadota bacterium
Lineage: Bacteria; Pseudomonadati; Gemmatimonadota
Description: Gemmatimonadetes bacterium partial 16S ribosomal RNA
Rfam family: Bacterial small subunit ribosomal RNA
Source: RNAcentral
UAGGGAAUCUUCGGCAAUGGACGAAAGUCUGACCGAGCAACGCCGCGUGAGUGAAGAAGGUUUUCGGAUCGUAAAACUCUGUUGUUAGAGAAGAACAAGGACGUUAGUAACUGAACGUCCCCUGACGGUAUCUAACCAGAAAGCCACGGCUAACUACGUGCCAGCAGCCGAGGUAAUACGUAGGUGGCAAGCGUUGUCCGGAUUUAUUGGGCGUAAAGCGAGCGCAGGCGGUUUCUUAAGUCUGAUGUGAAAGCCCCCGGCUCAACCGGGGAGGGUCAUUGGAAACUGGGAGACUUGAGUGCAGAAGAGGAGAGUGGAAUUCCAUGUGUAGCGGUGAAAUGCGUAGAUAUAUGGAGGAACACCAGUGGCGAAGGCGGCUCUCUGGUCUGUAACUGACGCUGAGGCUCGAAAGCGUGGGGAGCAAACAGG